This 301-nucleotide ribosomal RNA is filed under the name uncultured bacterium. RNAcentral's name for it is "partial 16S ribosomal RNA". It matches the Rfam family "Bacterial small subunit ribosomal RNA", at positions 509 to 807 of the family's 1533-position model. The record is from RNAcentral.
CAGCAGCCGCGGGAAUACGGAGGGUGCAAGCGUUAAUCGGAAUUACUGGGCGUAAAGCGCACGCAGGCGGUCUGUCAAGUCAGAUGUGAAAUCCCCGGGCUUAACCUGGGAACUGCAUUUGAAACUGGCAGGCUAGAGUCUUGUAGAGGGGGGUAGAAUUCCAGGUGUAGCGGUGAAAUGCGUAGAGAUCUGGAGGAAUACCGGUGGCGAAGGCGGCCCCCUGGACAAAGACUGACGCUCAGGUGCGAAAGCGUGGGGAGCAAACAGGAUUAGAUACCCCGGUAGUCCCUGUCUCUUAUAC